GUCGGAGAUGGCAAGCGUUGUUCGGAAUUACUGGGCGUAAAGCGCGCGUAGGCGGUUAGGUAAGUUGGGGGUGAAAUCCUGCGGCUCAACCGCAGAACGGCCUCCAAUACUGCCUGGCUAGAGGGCGAAAGAGGGGAGUGGAACUCCUGGUGGAGCGGUGAUAUGCGUAGAUAUCAGGAGGAACGCCGGUGGCGAAAGCGACUCCCUGGGUCGCCCCUGACGCUGAGUGUGCGAAAGCCAGGGGAGCGAACGGGAUUAGAUACCCUCGUA
This 270-nucleotide ribosomal RNA is filed under the name uncultured prokaryote. RNAcentral's name for it is "partial 16S ribosomal RNA". It matches the Rfam family "Bacterial small subunit ribosomal RNA", at positions 524 to 792 of the family's 1533-position model. The record is from RNAcentral.